Dermacentor andersoni is the source of this 2669-nucleotide long non-coding RNA. RefSeq lists it as uncharacterized. Lineage: Eukaryota; Metazoa; Arthropoda; Arachnida; Ixodida; Ixodidae. The record is from RefSeq and is a predicted model, not a curated record.
AGUGCUUCAUGUCAUUUUGCAGUGCCGGGUCAUUGAAGUUUCUUCCGAUGAGCCGCUUCGCAUCUGCUGGCCAGAACAUCGGCAUCAGCUUCCCGUCGCAUUCAGAGAACUCCGCCUUCUCACGGAAGGACCUUCGGGGCUGUCCGGGUCACAUACCGAUGAUGACAAAGAGAUGUGGACAGACAUCUGCUCCAUCUCUGGGAUACUUGAAGAGGCCUGACCAAACGAUGCAAGAGGGAGCGGCACAACCGUAGGCUGAAACAAAGAAUCGCCCGGAUCACAGCAGAAGCUGAACAAUACGCCACCAGCCUCACUAAUAAGAAUUGGCACAACCUCUGCGACCGCCUUAAUGGCACACUAGGUACUUCCAAAACGUGGUCCCUCCUCAGAGCACUACUCUACCCAACGCACACAAAAACGCACACAACACCGUCCGCACUAUCAUCCAUAAAGAAUAAAUGGAUGAUGACGCUCUCCUCUAAACACUGCAACAGAGGUACAUUGCUACAAAUCACCGACCGGAGUACAAAGACUAUCCACACGAGGAGGAAACCCAAUUGGACGGCGAUAUUACAGAGACAGAAGGAAGGGCAGCCCUACACGCCAUAUCACGUAACACAGCGCCUGGAGCAGACUGCAUUCACUAUGCACUACUACGAAACCUCGACGAUCAGGCCAUACGGCAACUCACUGCAUACUACAAAGACAAUUGGAAAAACGGAACUCUUCCACAGGAAUGGCGACACACCGAUAUUAAUUUCGAAACCCGGCAAACCGUUGUCGCUCCAAAAUCUCAGGCCCAUUUCCCUGACUUCGUAUAUCGGAAAACUCUACGAGCAAUCAGUUCCAAUGCGCUUCAAUCCUUGAAGCGAACCAAUUCUUCCUCACUACCUUAUUUGGCUAUCGACCAGGUCUGUCUGCGCAGGAUAUAUUCGUACAACUUAAGGAGGAUGUUGUGGAUGAUCCGAGUAAAGCUUAAACAAGAGCCAUUCUGGCGUUGGACUGCAAGGGGGCCUUCGACAACGUCUCACAUGACCUCAUUAUAAACAAUCUUGCAUCCUCCAGAUGCGGAAAACGCAUCUAUGAUUAUGUGCGUGCCUUUUUAUCUGACCGCAAAGCCACCAUCGGCCUAAGUGAUAUUCGGUCAGAUGUCAUAUAAAACUUUCCGGCAGAGGGACUCCGCAGGGUUCGGUUCUCUAACCUACCCCGUUCAACGUGGCGAUGGCAAAGCUACCACCGCUCCUCGACAAGCUUCCGAACGUGCAGCACGCCCUGUACGCCGGUGAUGUAACAAUCUGGGUGACCACAGUAUCGGACGGCGCCAUUCAGGAUGCACUACAGGAAGCAGUAAAUAUAGCACAAGAGUAUGCAACAGCCGGAGGACUCACCUGCGCAACUCAGAAGUUUUAGCUGCUGCUUGUAUUAAAAAAAGAAAAGGUAAUACGGCCGAUAUUCCAUCAGCUAUCACAUUGCCUCUCAAUGGCAACGUUAUUCCAAGGGUAGACAGACCACGUGUACUAGGCCUUAACAUACAACACAACGGGAAGGCCACACAUACCAUACACUUACUCCGCCAACAAAUCACGCAAAUAAGGCGCAUGAUAAAGUGCAUUACAAACCGCCGGCAAGGGCUCCAAGAAAAAGUUGUAUUCCGAAUCGUGCAAGCCCUCAUAAUUAGCAGAUUAACCCACCACCUCCCCUAUUAUAACCUGACUCAGACCGAGGUGCACCAGAUAGACACCCUCAUCCGUACAGCACUAAAGGCAGCGCUGGGAAUACCUCAACAUGCGUCCACGCAGCUCCUACUACGAGUCGGGGGGCACAACACCAUACGCGAACUAGUCGAAGGUCAUCUUAACAGCCAAUUGCAACGUCUCGAACGAACAAUGCAAGGGUGCCUCAUUCUAUCCCGGCUAGAAUACCAAACACCAAGAAAACCACGACAGGAAGACCGCACACUUCUUGCGCUUAGCAUUCACAACAAAAUUCACGUGGCCCCGAUUCCCCGAAUUAUGCACCCUGACCGUGAUAAAGGCCGAAGAGACGCAACAGCACAUGCCCUGGCUCGACUCUUUGGCGAUGGCACAUUGAACACAGUGUUAAGGCGCCGACUCUCGCGUUCCCUAGACUGAGACUCGGGAUCCUCGACUCGGCGUGACCGCUGCUCAGCCGCAGCUUCGGCGCUAGUUUCCGCAUCAGCUCGGCGGCUACGCAUCGCUUCUCGCUUGGCAGUACGGCGUUUUUCCUGGUUAGCAGAUUCUUCUUCGGGAGUCCGGACUUUCUUCAGUCUUCCCAUGGCAGCAGUACUUACGCACGGAGUAGAGGAGGCGAGAGGUGCAUCACCGCGCUGGCUAUUCCGUGCUUUUACUCGACUGCGACGUCAGGACUCCGCCACACGCGUGUAUAGUGCGAUGAGGUUAUGUGGCUCGGUGCUCUCGCAGGUGGUUGCUAGACAACGGGAGACGACGCACACCUGGCCUGAAUUUUCUUGUAACGCUCCACGGCGGAACUAAAAGCUUAAACAACUCCGCUGUUAAAAAAGCAAGCCUACAGCCUGUUACAAUGUUGGCUCAGCCAGGUUGAGCCACUUCUCUGGAAAGGGUGGCCGGGCGCAUAAAAGUCACUCCGCGUGCUAAUACACGUGCCAUACCAAUUUAUUUGACGAAUAA